RNAcentral lists this ribosomal RNA (799 nucleotides) under uncultured bacterium. Its description in RNAcentral is "bacterial SSU rRNA". It matches the Rfam family "Bacterial small subunit ribosomal RNA", at positions 60 to 869 of the family's 1533-position model. The record is from RNAcentral.
AGUACGUGGUGCUCCUUGUAACAAUACCAGAGGUAUCCUACUGGCGCACGGGUGAGUAACGCGUUGGUGACCUACCCCAAAGUGUGGGAUAACAGUUCGAAAGAACUGCUAAUACCGCAUGUGGUUAUCGGGUUUAGAAACCGAUAACUAAAGGAGCAAUUCGCUUUGGGAGGGACCUGCGUCCCAUCAGCUAGUUGGUGAGGUAACGGCUCACCAAGGCGACGACGGGUAGGGGACCUGAGAGGGUGACCCCCCACAAUGGAACUGAAACACGGUCCAUACACCUACGGGUGGCAGCAGUAGGGAAUAUUGCUCAAUGGGCGAAAGCCUGAAGCAGCAACGCCGCGUGCGCGAUGAAGGUCUUCGGAUCGUAAAGCGCUUUUAUGAGGGAUGAGAACGGACAGUACCUCAGGAAUAAGUCUCGGCUAACUACGUGCCAGCAGCCGCGGUAAAACGUACGAGGCAAGCGUUAUCCGGAUUCACUGGGCGUAAAGCGCGUGCAGGCGGUUCGGUAAGUUGGGCGUGAAAUCUCCUGGCUUAACUAGGAGAGGUCGUCCAAUACUACCGGGCUAGAGAGUGGUACAGGAAAAUGGAAUUCCCGGUGUAGUGGUGAAAUGCGUAUAUAUCGGGAGGAACACCAGUGGCGAAAGCGAUUUUCUGGACCAUUUCUGACGCUCAGACGCGAAAGCUAGGGUAGUAAACGGGAUUAUAGACCCCGGUAAUCCUACCCGUAAACGAUGUAAACUUGGCGUUGGUGGCUUAAACACCAUCAGUGCCGCAGCUAACGCGAUAAGUUUAC